UACAGAGGGUGCGAGCGUUAAUCGGAAUUACUGGGCGUAAAGCGCGCGUAGGCGGCUUUGCAAGUCGGGUGUGAAAUCCCCAGGCUUAACCUGGGAACUGCAUUCGAGACUGCAUUGCUAGAGUAUGGGAGAGGGAAGUGGAAUUUCCGGUGUAGCGGUGAAAUGCGUAGAUAUCGGAAGGAACGUCAGUGGCGAAAGCGACUUCCUGGACCAAUACUGACGCUCAUGUGCGAAAGCGUGGGGAGCAAACAGG
This 253-nucleotide ribosomal RNA is filed under the name uncultured bacterium. RNAcentral describes it as "partial 16S ribosomal RNA". It matches the Rfam family "Bacterial small subunit ribosomal RNA", at positions 524 to 776 of the family's 1533-position model. The record is from RNAcentral.